GUACCCGCUGAACUUAAGCAUAUCAAUAAGCGGAGGAAAAGAAACUAACAAGGAUUCCCCUAGUAACGGCGAGUGAAGCGGGAACAGCUCAAAUUUGAAAUCUCACAAGGUCACUUGUGCGAAUUGUAGUUUAGAGAAACGUUUUCGGGGGCAACGUGGGUAUAAGUCCUUUGGAAAGAGGCAUCAUAGAGGGUGAGAAUCCCGUUUAUGAUCCACUGUUUGCUCCUAUGUGAUACGUUUUCCAAGAGUCAGGUAGUUUGGGAUUGCUGCCUAAAAUGGGUGGUAAAUACCAUCUAAAGCUAAAUAUUGGCGGGAGACCGAUAGCGAACAAGUACCGUGAGGGAAAGAUGAAAAGAACUUUGAAAAGAGAGUUAAACAGUACGUGAAAUUGCCAAAAGGGAAACGCUUGGAACCAGUAUUGCUCUCAAGUAAUCAACGUCACGUCCCGCAAGGGUCGCGUGGUGUGCACUUGCUUGCGAGCGAGCCAACAUCAGUUUGAUUUGGGGUAAAAAGCCUGUGGAAGGUAGCUCGAACUUCGGUUCGAGUGUUAUAGCCUAAGGUCAUGCCCUGGAUUGGACUGAGGUCUGCAGCGUCAUUUGGAUUCCCGGUUGCCUCUUGAGACUAACUCUAGACAGCACGCUGACUAGGGUGACAUUUAGAGAGCUCAGCCGGUUCAUCACACCUACGCUUAGGAUGUUGGCGAAAUGGCUCCAAACGACCCGUCUUGAAACACGGACCAAGGAGUCUAACAUAUAUGCGAGUAUUUGGGUGGCAAACCCUCAUGCGCAAUGAAAGUGAACUUAGGUGGGAUCGCAAGUGCACCAUCGACCGGUCUGGAUUUUUUUUGAUAGAUCUGAGUAAGAGCAUACAUGUUGGGACCCGAAAGAUGGUGAACUAUGCCUGAAUAGGGUGAAGCCAGAGGAAACUCUGGUGGAGGCUCGUAGCGAUUCUGACGUGCAAAUCGAUCGUCAAAUUUGGGUAUAGGGGCGAAAGACUAAUCGAACCAUCUAGUAGCUGGUUCCCUCCGAAGUUUCCCUCAGGAU
RNAcentral lists this ribosomal RNA (1043 nucleotides) under Fimicolochytrium alabamae. RNAcentral's name for it is "eukaryotic LSU rRNA". It matches the Rfam family "Eukaryotic large subunit ribosomal RNA", at positions 22 to 979 of the family's 3401-position model. Lineage: Eukaryota; Fungi; Chytridiomycota; Chytridiomycetes; Spizellomycetales; Powellomycetaceae. The record is from RNAcentral.